This is a long non-coding RNA of Pezoporus occidentalis (night parrot), 1449 nucleotides long. RefSeq lists it as uncharacterized. NCBI's taxonomy places the organism in Eukaryota, Metazoa, Chordata, Aves, Psittaciformes, Psittacidae. The transcript is spliced from 3 exons. The record is from RefSeq and is a predicted model, not a curated record.
GCGAUGCAUCACUGCUGGGAGUGCCAAGCCAUGGUUGUGUCCUGGGUGCUGGUGGAGGGUGGAAUAGCCCAAUGCUCCCAGCAGUGCCAGGGUUUAUGGCUGGGUCAUAUGGGGAGCUGGGGCAGGCUGCUCUGCCCAGCUUUGUGCCAGGGCUCACACGUCAAUCCAGAUGGGCUGUAGGUGCUGGACUCUGAACACAAGGAUCUGCCUGUGUGUCUUCGUGAAUCAACGGUGCUGAUUUCUCCCAUUCACCAGGAACCGGUCUGUCAGGCAGAAUGUCAUUGGCACCAACCUCUCUCUGUGGUUAGCUUCCCCCAGCCCUGCAUUGGAACCACCAGUCCUGCUGCAGGUACGAACCUCCCUCAACUGGGUGCUGAGCCCUGAGAGCUCCAGCCCUGAGCAGCUGCAUCUGCCCGUCCCUGUGGACCUGCUGGCUUCCCCAGUGUACCAGUGCCUCAGGGCACAGGUUGGCUGGCACAGGAGUGCAGCUCACCAGGGACAGGCACUGGCGCACAGCCAUUUCCUGGGGACAAGAGAUCAGAGUGAUGCAAAUGGAGGAGAGUAGCCAGAGCACCAGAAAUGUAAAGGUCUCUCCACAGACUGGUCACACUCAGAGCCUGUGUUUAGGAAUAAUAUGUAAUGAGUGUGCAAUGGAACAAGUUUGUCCAGAGUUGUGUUCCCAGACUGCAUUCCCUGAGCCUGUGCAUCAGCAGAGGUAACCUCUAUCUAGCCAUUACUGGAAAGAGGUCUUUGCUGUGGUAUUCAGUGGUAUUUAAUGAAUAAUAAGACAUUGCAUUAAUUAGUAUUAGGUCUGAUUUGGUGACGUGUAAUUUGGGGGGAAGGAUUACAGAGUAAGUAUUUGAAUGAGAAUUUUUAUAGGACAGAGUCAAAAUGAGAUUAGCAGUGUCACUACGCAGGGAGCCCAGGGGCUGACGUGUGUGUGUUUAGCAACUGAUGCAGAUAGAGCACAACUUUAUUUAGUGGUGGGAAAAGAACGUGUAGCUGUUAUUUACCUUUAUGUGUCACCCUGUAUAAUGUGCGCCUCAGUCACCAUGAAAGAGAAAAGCAAACAGGCACCAUUUCAGCAGAAACGCCCUGUGGUGCUCAGCACCACAUGUGACGUACGUGUGCAGAGGGAUUUCAGCAUGCCACAGGUGGGAUCCUUCUAUAGGAAUGGAAGGAGGAAGUUUGUCUCCCUGAUGUGCCCAAGCCCCACUGAGGACACGAGGAGCAGAACCAGUGCCUGGUCCCUGGCACAGCCUUGACCCAGGCGUGCUCUCCAUGCAGAGGGCACCAGGUUAUGUCUAGUCCAACGUGAGUGCCCCAAGCAGCACAUGGGUUUGAUGCAGUGACAUGUGGUGUAGGACCCCUCACUGUCUGCUCCAGAUAGCAACCGGUCCUCACUGUCCUGUGUUACCUGCUAAUAUAGCCACCAGCCAUGCCCUCUGC